Molecule: small RNA, 98 nt
Filed under: Salmonella enterica subsp. enterica serovar Typhi
Lineage: Bacteria; Pseudomonadati; Pseudomonadota; Gammaproteobacteria; Enterobacterales; Enterobacteriaceae
Description: StyR-254
Source: RNAcentral
CUUUAUCUCCGCGGCCAGAGAGAUUGACCACCAGCAGUUGCUCUUUUUCCGGCUGCUCGCGCAUCAUUUUCAGAGCGUGCGCCAACGCGUGGGAGGAC